RNAcentral lists this microRNA (22 nucleotides) under Lepisosteus oculatus (spotted gar). Its description in RNAcentral is "Loc-Mir-724-v2_5p (mature (guide))". The record is from RNAcentral. Lineage: Eukaryota; Metazoa; Chordata; Actinopteri; Semionotiformes; Lepisosteidae.
UAAAGGGAAUUUGCGACUGUUG